Ovis aries (sheep) is the source of this 72-nucleotide transfer RNA. It matches the Rfam family "tRNA". Rfam says of the family: Transfer RNA (tRNA) molecules are approximately 80 nucleotides in length. The record is from Rfam. NCBI's taxonomy places the organism in Eukaryota, Metazoa, Chordata, Mammalia, Artiodactyla, Bovidae.
UCCCUGGUGGCUCAGACAGUAAAGAAUCUGCCUGUAACGCAGGAGACCCAGGUUCGAUUCCUGGGUUGAGAG